This 492-nucleotide ribosomal RNA is filed under the name uncultured bacterium. RNAcentral describes it as "partial 16S ribosomal RNA". It matches the Rfam family "Bacterial small subunit ribosomal RNA", at positions 29 to 507 of the family's 1533-position model. The record is from RNAcentral.
AGUGAACGCUGGCGGUAGGCCUAACACAUGCAAGUCGAACGGCAGCACAGUAAGAGCUUGCUCUUACGGGUGGCGAGUGGCGGACGGGUGAGGAAUACAUCGGAAUCUACUUUUUCGUGGGGGAUAACGUAGGGAAACUUACGCUAAUACCGCAUACGACCUACGGGUGAAAGCAGGGGAUCUUCGGACCUUGCGCGAUUGAAUGAGCCGAUGUCGGAUUAGCUAGUUGGCGGGGUAAAGGCCCACCAAGGCGACGAUCCGUAGCUGGUCUGAGAGGAUGAUCAGCCACCCUGGAACUUGGACACGGGCCAGGCGCCUAAGGGAGGGAGCAGUGGGGAAUAGUGGGCAAUGGGCGCAAGCCUGAUCCAGCCAUACCGCGUGGGUGAAGAAGGCCUUCGGGUUGUAAAGCCCUUUUGUUGGGAAAGAAAAGCAGCAGGUUAAUACCCCGCUGUUCUGACGGUACCCAAAGAAUAAGCACCGGCUAACUUCGUG